Molecule: long non-coding RNA, 293 nt
Filed under: Vigna radiata
Lineage: Eukaryota; Viridiplantae; Streptophyta; Magnoliopsida; Fabales; Fabaceae
Description: long non-coding RNA (VRAD_LNC014139)
Source: RNAcentral
UAAUUUGAAUUUUCUGAGCUAAUUAUUUGCAUUAUUAUUUUCAGGGAAAAUUUUGGAAACACAAUUUGGGACAUUUGGAGGAGACAAAAUAAAUUGAAGACUCUCAAAUUAGACAUUUUAAAUUUCAUUGUAUUGUAAUUUUUAUUGCUUAAACUUUUUGGACAAACCUUUGCACAUUGGGCCAUUGUUAAAAUUUAUGAGGGGCCCAAAAUUGUAGGACACUUGUCACCCUAGGGUUUUAUUUUUUUUAGGGUGUACCCCACCCCAAUUUUAGGACACAUGAUCCUAGGAAC